UAUUCUCUAAGCAAGUCGAAAAACAAGUCAGCGCCGACCAGCAUGUCGACGCCUUUAGGAUUAAAAAAUUUGGGUCUGCCAGGAAGAUACCAUUUUGAAUUGUAUCAAAUCCGCUCAUCCGACGUCAACAUGACGGCUGAGAACCAGUGAGUCUACCUGGGGAUGCCAAUAAUUGCUCAGGGGUAGUAGUGAAUAUCCAGCUGCGCAAACCACUGGAUUUCUUAAAAACAUCGCAUAGCCGUAUUUUAUUGUAGUUUUAGUAUGAACCAGUGCGCAGCAACACAUUGAGAUCAAAGCACAUCGUGUCCAAGCAUUAUCCUCAUACCUGUUUCGGCCAUAUUACCACUCUUUUUUAGGGUGUAAACGUAAAAUAGUUUACAUUUAAACAAUUAUAUCUGGCGAACGGAAGACACGAUUUUCAUGGGUCAAAAGCAGGUGAAGUUGGGUUUACACAACCGAUUAUAAGAAAUUUAAUUCGCAUUAUGCCAUCACGAACCUUGAGGGAGUUGGACUCGGGAUCGAAACGAAAGCAGGGGUAUAGCUCUCUUCAGCUCCGCAUUAGCUGUUAAGAAGCUGUUGGAGGUGCAGUCCAUUAGAUCGCCAAUGAAGAUGUCGUCGGAGAUCGUAUUAAAGACCUUACUUUGUGUAUGAUCUUGUAUGGACACGCCCGGCAGGAUGGCCAUGGAGGGAGCGAAGUGUCACUGGCUAUGAUCCUGUUCGAUUGGAUUAUAUCUUAAGCUUUCACUUCUUUUUUGAUUCGACCGGUUCUGGUAUUUCUUCCUGUGGGUCACGUCCCACAAUAAUGGGAAACAUCUUGUUCUGAACUCCUGAAUCCGUUUUUAAAGUAA
Long non-coding RNA from Drosophila biarmipes, 848 nucleotides. RefSeq lists it as uncharacterized. NCBI's taxonomy places the organism in Eukaryota, Metazoa, Arthropoda, Insecta, Diptera, Drosophilidae. The transcript is spliced from 4 exons. The record is from RefSeq and is a predicted model, not a curated record.